GACGAACGCUGGCGGCGUGCUUAACACAUGCAAGUCGAACGGAAAGGCCCUGCUUGCAGGGUACUCGAGUGGCGAACGGGUGAGUAACACGUGGGUGAUCUGCCCUGCACUUCGGGAUAAGCCUGGGAAACUGGGUCUAAUCCCGAAUAGGGGCCAUUUUUGGUGUGAUGGUUGGAAAGUUUUUUCGGUGUAGGAUGAGCUCGCGGCCUAUCAGCUUGUUGGUGGGGUAAUGGCCUACCAAGGCGGCGACGGGUAGCCGGCCUGAGAGGGUGGACGGCCACAUUGGGACUGAGAUACGGCCCAGACUCCUACGGGAGGCAGCAGUGGGGAAUAUUGCACAAUGGGCGCAAGCCUGAUGCAGCGACGCCGCGUGGGGGAUGACGGCCUUCGGGUUGUAAACUCCUUUCGCUAGGGACGAAGCUUUUUGUGACGGUACCUAGAUAAGAAGCACCGGCUAACUACGUG
This 465-nucleotide ribosomal RNA is filed under the name uncultured bacterium. RNAcentral's name for it is "partial 16S ribosomal RNA". It matches the Rfam family "Bacterial small subunit ribosomal RNA", at positions 28 to 507 of the family's 1533-position model. The record is from RNAcentral.